GGUAAACAAAACAAUAUCGCUUCAAAUAAAAAAACAUCAAGAGGUGUGGCCAGUCAUCCUGAACCGUCCCCACACAGCUGAUCCCCAUUCCACAAUUCACCCCUCCAGUUUUUAAACCCGGGCUGUCCGCUUCUCCAGCGCCAGAUCGUUACACACCCCUAGAUCCCGCUGUUCUCGCUCUGACCUGCCGUGCCACCCGUCUCGCAUCCCUCCGGCGUCCUCCCCCGUUUGUCCCCUUCCCUUGAAAUCUGCAUUUAUUAAAGUCACUCCUAUGGAUUAUCAGUCCUAUUAUUAUUAUCUGAAACACAAACUUAUAACAGCAAUAAAUGGACAGGCAAGAUUAGGACACUUUUCCUAAACUUAACUAGUGUGGUAUGUUGCCUAAUCAUAUUCGGCUUCCUGUGAAGGCAGAUGUUUUUUUCAGAAAGAGAUGAGCAUGUAACAAAU
This is a long non-coding RNA of Gasterosteus aculeatus aculeatus (three-spined stickleback), 447 nucleotides long. The record is from Ensembl. NCBI's taxonomy places the organism in Eukaryota, Metazoa, Chordata, Actinopteri, Perciformes, Gasterosteidae.